Molecule: ribosomal RNA, 484 nt
Filed under: uncultured bacterium
Lineage: Bacteria
Description: bacterial SSU rRNA
Rfam family: Bacterial small subunit ribosomal RNA
Source: RNAcentral
AUUGAACGCUGGCAGAAUGCUUUACACAUGCAAGUCGAACGGCAGCACGGACUUCGGUCUGGUGGCGAGUGGCGAACGGGUGAGUAAUACAUCGGAACGUGCCCAGUCGUGGGGGAUAACGUAGCGAAAGCUACGCUAAUACCGCAUACGAUCUACGGAUGAAAGCGGGGGAUCGCAAGACCUCGCGCGAUUGGAGCGGCCGAUGGCAGAUUAGGUAGUUGGUGGGGUAAAGGCUCACCAAGCCGACGAUCUGUAGCUGGUCUGAGAGGACGACCAGCCACACUGGGACUGAGACACGGCCCAGACUCCUACGGGAGGCAGCAGUGGGGAAUUUUGGACAAUGGGCGCAAGCCUGAUCCAGCCAUUCCGCGUGCAGGAUGAAGGCCCUCGGGUUGUAAACUGCUUUUGUACGGAACGAAAAGGCUCUGGUUAAUACCUGGGGCUCAUGACGGUACCGUAAGAAUAAGCACCGGCUAACUACGUG